Molecule: ribosomal RNA, 419 nt
Filed under: uncultured archaeon
Lineage: Archaea
Description: bacterial SSU rRNA
Rfam family: Archaeal small subunit ribosomal RNA
Source: RNAcentral
UACUGCCAGACUUGGAACCGGGAGAGGUAAGAGGUACUACAGGGGUAGGAGUGAAAUCUUGUAAUCCCUGUGGGACCACCUGUGGCGAAGGCGUCUUACCAGAACGGGUUCGACGGUGAGGGACGAAAGCUGGGGGCACGAACCGGAUUAGAUACCCGGGUAGUCCCAGCCGUAAACGAUGCUCGCUAGGUGUCAGGCAUGGCGCGACCGUGUCUGGUGCCGCAGGGAAGCCGUGAAGCGAGCCACCUGGGAAGUACGGCCGCAAGGCUGAAACUUAAAGGAAUUGGCGGGGGAGCACAACAACGGGUGGAAGCCUGCGGUUUAAUUAGACUCAACGCCGGACAACUCACCGGGGGCGAACAGCAAUAUGUAGGCCAAGCUGAAGACUUUGCCUAGAAUCGCUGAGUAGAGGUGCAUGG